RNAcentral lists this long non-coding RNA (305 nucleotides) under Homo sapiens (human). Its description in RNAcentral is "non-protein coding lnc-ETNK1-3:9". The record is from RNAcentral. Lineage: Eukaryota; Metazoa; Chordata; Mammalia; Primates; Hominidae.
UGCCCUUCAUCACUCAGCAGUGAAGAAUGAAAAUCAACAGAGCUUUCCCCAGCCUGCUGCUUAAGCAGCUGCUAGCAGGCUGAGGCUGCCCAGCCUCAUUAACCCAUUAGAUGCUGCGUUCGCCCGGGAGUCAUUCUUAAUGAGGCUGCUGCAGAUGAGAAAACAGAAGCAAAGGCAGAAAGAUGCUACAUUGCCAGCUUUGAAGAUGGAGGGAAGAGGUCACAAACCAAGGAAGGUGAGUGGUGCCUAGAAGUUGGAAAAGACAUGGAAACACAUUCUUCUGUAAAGCACUUAGAAAGAAAUAC